This 432-nucleotide ribosomal RNA is filed under the name uncultured bacterium. Its description in RNAcentral is "partial 16S ribosomal RNA". It matches the Rfam family "Bacterial small subunit ribosomal RNA", at positions 338 to 795 of the family's 1533-position model. The record is from RNAcentral.
CCUACGGGUAGCUGCAGUGAGGAAUAUUGGACAAUGGGCGCAAGCCUGAUCCAGCCAUGCCGCGUGCAGGAUGACGGUCUAUGGAUUGUAAACUGCUAGAAGAACUCGGGCGGUAUCGUAAGAAUAAGGAUCGGCUAACUCCGUGCCAGCAGCCGCGGUAAUACGGAGGAUCCAAGCGUUAUCCGGAAUCAUUGGGUUUAAAGGGUCCGUAGGCGGUUUAAUAAGUCAGUGGUGAAAGCCCAUCGCUCAACGGUGGAACGGCCAUUGAUACUGUUAAACUUGAAUUAUUAGGAAGUAACUAGAAUAUGUAGUGUAGCGGUGAAAUGCUUAGAGAUUACAUGGAAUACCAAUUGCGAAGGCAGGUUACUACUAAUGAUUGACGCUGAUGGACGAAAGCGUGGGUAGCGAACAGGAUUAGAUACCCCAGUAGUC